AUUGAACGCUGGCGGCAUGCCUUACACAUGCAAGUCGAACGGUCACAGGUCUUCGGAUGCUGACGAGUGGCGAACGGGUGAGUAAUACAUCGGAACGUGCCUCGUAGUGGGGGAUAACUACUCGAAAGAGUGGCUAAUACCGCAUGAGAUCUACGGGUGAAAGCAGGGGAUCGCAAGACCUGGUGCUGCUAGCGCGGCCGAUGGGAGAUUAGGUAGUUGGUGGGAUAAAAGCUUACCAAGCCGACGAUCUGUAGCUGGUCUGAGAGGACGAUCAGCCACACUGGGACUGAGACACGGCCCAGACUCCUACGGGAGGCAGCAGUGGGGAAUUUUGGACAAUGGGCGCAAGCCUGAUCCAGCAAUGCCGCGUGCAGGAUGAAGGCCUUCGGGUCGUAAACUGCUUUUGUACGGAACGAAAAGCCCCGGGUUAAUACCCUGGGGUCAUGACGGUACCGUAAGAAUAAGCACCGGCUAACUACGUGCCAGCCGCCGCCGUAA
This 498-nucleotide ribosomal RNA is filed under the name uncultured bacterium. Its description in RNAcentral is "partial 16S ribosomal RNA". It matches the Rfam family "Bacterial small subunit ribosomal RNA", at positions 30 to 523 of the family's 1533-position model. The record is from RNAcentral.